UCGACAAAGCAGUUCCAUUGCCACGCUCUC
RNAcentral lists this non-coding RNA (30 nucleotides) under Homo sapiens (human). Lineage: Eukaryota; Metazoa; Chordata; Mammalia; Primates; Hominidae. The record is from RNAcentral.